AAUGUGAAUAUCAUUGAUAUUAUUAAUAAAAUGUUAACGUUUGUAUGCUUGUUCCCCCGUCCCUGUACAGCGGUCCUAGUCUGCAAUGGUCACGGUACGGCUAGAGGGGGACCUGGUAACUCCACUCUGUGUGUGUGCCAGGAGCCAUACACUGGGGAUACUUGUCAAACCUGUAAUCACGGCUACUACGGCAACCCAAUCAACGGUGGACUCAACUAGUCACUGGAAUGGAGUUCCACAAGUUCUACUUUGACCAUCAUUUCCAUGAUCACACCCAAGGUUCAGAUGUUGGGGGACCAGGGGCGGAUCCAGGAUUUAGGAAAGGGGGGUUCUUACUUCUUGGCCGCGCGAAGCGCAAAUAAGAAGUGUUACUCGGCGCAUAGCGCCGAAAUUUUUCGGCUGACCACGCCCCCUUUUACGUGCCACGCCCAUUAAUUAACCACAUUCCCCUUCAACAAAAACAUUAUACAAAAAAACAGAAAAUUAAUUAUAUAAUAUCUGAAAGAACACAAGGCAAAGCCAUUCUCAUGCUCUGGGAUAGUGAUUGCACUUUCUUCUCUUUCAGGAGAGCACCAAUGUCCAUUGGCUGAUCCUCAGCGGAAGAUCUCGUUGCUUGCUUCGAUGAACACGGAGGGGUGAUGGAGGUGGCUGGUGGUUCCAGUGGAGAGAUAGUUGUGACUGGAGGAGAGAUGGUUGUGACUGGAGGAGAGACGGUGGUGGCUGGAGGGGUGGCUGGAGGAGAGACGGUGGUGGCUGGAGGAGAGACGGUGGUGGCUGGAGGAGAGACGUUGAUGACUGGAGGAGAGACGGUGGUGGCUGGUGGUUCUCUUGAAGAGGAGACUGGCUGUAGACUUGACGCAUCAUCUAGAUUAUUAUAUUAGUCAAUAUAAUUAUUAUAGCAAUUAUAAUUAAUCUAUACAGUGUCUAUCAUUCAGUAUGCAGUGCCAUGAACUCUCCCUUACCUGAAACUUUACUCUUCUUAAACCAGGAGUCAAUGGAGGGUUGCAAUCUAGACCUUUUGUUAGGAUUUGUGGCCAGGCUCAAUUAUCACUGCGACCACGGCUGGAUGAGUCAAUAUAGCCAGCCCCACCCUCAUAUUAUGCAGAGAGUACCAGCCCCACCCUCACAUUAUACAGAGAGAACUUUGUACCCUAUUGUCAUGACAGUAAGCUAGCUAGCCAGGUGUAAUAUAAAGUAUCAACUUAGUGGAAGGGUAGUUCGUACAAACCCAACGAACUACCUCUGGAUCCGCCCCUGGCCGGACUCAGGUGCUUAUUGUGCCUACAUCCGCCUCAUCCAAACAGUCGUCAAGGAAGGCGUGGCUCACUCAGUGAGUAUUCCAGAGACCAGGAUCUGGCAGGAUAUUGGAAGUAUGUUCAUUCUCAUUGCUCGGCUGGUGGGGGCCAAUCCAGCGAGGUCACCUGACACCCCUAGCGACCAGUAGUUACCAUAACAACUUGGUAAAGGAUAUUUGUGAUUUUGUGUUGUGCUUUUACAUGACUGCAUGUAGUUUCAGUUUUGAAAUGAAUUGAGUUUUUGUGACACUGGUUAUUUUCGUAUGGUAGAAAUUUUCAUAUUUUUCGUGAUGUAAAACAUCAUACGAAAGUUACAAGUAUGAAAUUAUUCUACCCCAA
Molecule: long non-coding RNA, 1634 nt
Organism: Halichondria panicea
Lineage: Eukaryota; Metazoa; Porifera; Demospongiae; Suberitida; Halichondriidae
Exons: 4
Source: RefSeq, a predicted model, not a curated record